UGGGGAAUAUUGGACAAUGGGCGCAAGCCUGAUCCAGCCAUGCCGCGUGGAUGAUGAAGGCCCUAGGGUUGUAAAGUCCUUUCGGCGGGGAAGAUAAUGACGGUACCCGCAGAAGAAGCCCCGGCUAACUUCGUGCCAGCAGCCGCGGUAAUACGAAGGGGGCUAGCGUUGCUCGGAAUCACUGGGCGUAAAGCGCACGUAGGCGGACUCUUAAGUCGGAGGUGAAAUCCUGGAGCUCAACUCCAGAACUGCCUUCGAUACUGAGAGUCUCGAGUCCGGGAGAGGUGAGUGGAACUGCGAGUGUAGAGGUGAAAUUCGUAGAUAUUCGCAAGAACACCAGUGGCGAAGGCGGCUCACUGGCCCGGUACUGACGCUGAGGUGCGAAAGCGUGGGGAGCAAACA
RNAcentral lists this ribosomal RNA (402 nucleotides) under uncultured bacterium. Its description in RNAcentral is "bacterial SSU rRNA". It matches the Rfam family "Bacterial small subunit ribosomal RNA", at positions 355 to 774 of the family's 1533-position model. The record is from RNAcentral.